RNAcentral lists this ribosomal RNA (1244 nucleotides) under Staphylococcus aureus. RNAcentral describes it as "partial 23S ribosomal RNA". It matches the Rfam family "Bacterial large subunit ribosomal RNA", at positions 1580 to 2825 of the family's 2925-position model. Lineage: Bacteria; Bacillati; Bacillota; Bacilli; Caryophanales; Staphylococcaceae. The record is from RNAcentral.
GUGUCUUCGAGUCGUUGAUUUCACACUGCCGAGAAAAGCCUCUAGAUAGAAAAUAGGUGCCCGUACCGCAAACCGACACAGGUAGUCAAGAUGAGAAUUCUAAGGUGAGCGAGCGAACUCUCGUUAAGGAACUCGGCAAAAUGACCCCGUAACUUCGGGAGAAGGGGUGCUCUUUAGGGUUAACGCCCAGAAGAGCCGCAGUGAAUAGGCCCAAGCGACUGUUUAUCAAAAACACAGGUCUCUGCUAAACCGUAAGGUGAUGUAUAGGGGCUGACGCCUGCCCGGUGCUGGAAGGUUAAGAGGAGUGGUUAGCUUCUGCGAAGCUACGAAUCGAAGCCCCAGUAAACGGCGGCCGUAACUAUAACGGUCCUAAGGUAGCGAAAUUCCUUGUCGGGUAAGUUCCGACCCGCACGAAAGGCGUAACGAUUUGGGCACUGUCUCAACGAGAGACUCGGUGAAAUCAUAGUACCUGUGAAGAUGCAGGUUACCCGCGACAGGACGGAAAGACCCCGUGGAGCUUUACUGUAGCCUGAUAUUGAAAUUCGGCACAGCUUGUACAGGAUAGGUAGGAGCCUUUGAAACGUGAGCGCUAGCUUACGUGGAGGCGCUGGUGGGAUACUACCCUAGCUGUGUUGGCUUUCUAACCCGCACCACUUAUCGUGGUGGGAGACAGUGUCAGGCGGGCAGUUUGACUGGGGCGGUCGCCUCCUAAAAGGUAACGGAGGCGCUCAAAGGUUCCCUCAGAAUGGUUGGAAAUCAUUCAUAGAGUGUAAAGGCAUAAGGGAGCUUGACUGCGAGACCUACAAGUCGAGCAGGGUCGAAAGACGGACUUAGUGAUCCGGUGGUUCCGCAUGGAAGGGCCAUCGCUCAACGGAUAAAAGCUACCCCGGGGAUAACAGGCUUAUCUCCCCCAAGAGUUCACAUCGACGGGGAGGUUUGGCACCUCGAUGUCGGCUCAUCGCAUCCUGGGGCUGUAGUCGGUCCCAAGGGUUGGGCUGUUCGCCCAUUAAAGCGGUACGCGAGCUGGGUUCAGAACGUCGUGAGACAGUUCGGUCCCUAUCCGUCGUGGGCGUAGGAAAUUUGAGAGGAGCUGUCCUUAGUACGAGAGGACCGGGAUGGACAUACCUCUGGUGUACCAGUUGUCGUGCCAACGGCAUAGCUGGGUAGCUAUGUGUGGACGGGAUAAGUGCUGAAAGCAUCUAAGCAUGAAGCCCCCCUCAAGAUGAGAUUUCCCAACUUCGGUU